RNAcentral lists this small RNA (1648 nucleotides) under Arabidopsis thaliana (thale cress). RNAcentral describes it as "ATSL260180". Lineage: Eukaryota; Viridiplantae; Streptophyta; Magnoliopsida; Brassicales; Brassicaceae. The record is from RNAcentral.
UAUAUAUAUAUAUAUAUAUAUAGUCUCCCCCAAAUCUUCUUAAUCUUAACUAUUGUUAGUUUGAUAACCCUUUAAUCGGUAAUGACGAAGUUAUAACUGGAUUUUCUGCAGGUAGAUUAUGGUUAUGAUAGUGUGUUAGUUAGAGGAGAAUUGAGAAAAGACGAUGAAGGUUGUUAUGAACAUGUCUCCGCCUUAGAAAGUUUUACGAUGGCAGUUCGGGUGAGGGAGAUAGAUGGAUUUAAUAAGGUUGUUACUGCGGUAAAGGAAAGAUUGUCGUUACCAGAGAAAGACGAUGUCGAGCUAAGUUAUCAGUGGCCUCAAUGGAUGAUGGGACUCGACUGGAAACGAGCAAACCGAUAUACAUCCUUGAUGAUGAAGAUAUGACCCUAUUCAUGGCGAUAAGAGCUGAUCUUGAAGAUGUACAUCUGCGAGUAAAAAUGAUAAGGGGAGGCCUGGGUAAGAAUGUAAAUUUUUACAAGAGCCAUUUACAUUUGGGAGGAAUGACAGCAGAUGAGAUAUCUGAUAAUUACUGAAAUUCUACGGAAACUAGGUUAGUUUGGGAUAGAUAACCAGGUUGUUAACGCGGAAUGUUAGCUCCAGCGAUCUCCAACCAAGAGGGAACGAAACUGUUGAAUGACCGAGAAGAGUGAACCUAAAUGAAGGGAUAAGGAUAGAGGAACCGUUAAACGCAACACCUCUUAGAGCAUCGGUACCCAAGCAGUCCUUUACACAGAGAAAUAAAAGGCAACAACCAGCGAGAAAGGCAAAUGCCAAGUUACCGAGUCAAUAUUGUCUCAACCUGCAUUCAAGAAUGUUUUACCAUGUAACAACAUGUUUGAGGUGGAACAAGCUUCUACAGAAGCGGAAUUUGACGCUUUUAAAAGAACCUACGUCGCGGAAAUGUGGCGAGAUGUAUGUACUACAGAGAGGACUCUAGAAGGACAGCAAAUGGAGACAGUUGUGGCAAACGAGGGAACAAAGACAGCUAGAACAUUGAAUUGUGGGGUAACUAUGUCACAACAAACUCCCGUUGAAGACGAAAACCUAGCUGACACUUGCUGGCGCAUCCAUGGCAACACCACAAACCAAAAUCUUAAUGUUGUCGUCAUUAGACUCUUCGUUUGGAACACCGAGUUCCCCUUCUACCAGUUUUAAGACACCUAUUCCCAAAGAAUUCUCGAAAAUUAAAUCUUUGGGAGAGAUAUGAUGUCUCUCGGUUCUGACACGCUUACUGUUUAGCAUAUAUCGCACUUUAAUUUUGAUAGGCGGAUAGGGGUUAAUAGGUCAUUAUUUUGCUACAUAGACGAUCCAAAUAGUGUAGAUUUCAGUUAGUUAAAUAACGAGUCUUCUUUGGUCAUCGAGUAUAGAAACCCUUAUUUUAUUAUAUAAAAUAUGGUUUUCAAAGUUACUAACUCACAUGAUUGUGCCACAUGUCAAAUCAAAUGAUCAGAUGUUUACAUGUGUCAUUAAAGAUUUAACGUUUUUAUUCUUUAGAAAAAAUAGAAAAUCUAAAAAAUUAAACAAAUUUACAUAUACCAAUUUAUAUGUAUAUAUAUAUAUAUAAACAAUUUACUUUUAUUCAACAAAAGGAAAAUUAAUAAAGUUGUUUUACAUGUGUUAUUGGUCAUUUAAAUGUAGCACAUAUUUU